Molecule: long non-coding RNA, 445 nt
Organism: Centruroides sculpturatus (bark scorpion)
Lineage: Eukaryota; Metazoa; Arthropoda; Arachnida; Scorpiones; Buthidae
Exons: 4
Source: RefSeq, a predicted model, not a curated record
CUUUUGUGGUGGCAGCGAAGCAGGGCACGUCUCAAAAUCUGACAGGGCGAUUUCUUGACCUCUAACCUAACUGGUAUCAAUUGUAUGACGCAACAAUAGACAACAUGGUUAAAUAAAACAUUUCCUGUUGUAAGAUCAUGGAUGGAUGAUCAUGUAGUUCAACGUAUCUGCCAUAUUGAGGAUGUCCAUGAAUGGAAAUUUUAAUCACGUGAUAUUUCCACGAAAAGGAAAAACACCUUUAGAUGGAGUAAUUUUAGAAAGUACUAAAUUUGAACUAAGGAAAGUGGCGGCAGAUGCGCAACUCACGCCCCUCGCCAGUUCAAGUUACAGAACCGCCCAGGAUAAGAGGCACUCAGCCUCUAGCUAAUGGCCCGUUCAAAUGCCAAUACAAAAACCAAGCGCAUAAAUGGAAACGUCUUUGAAAUCUUUGUAUAAUGAAGAGAGA